This 83-nucleotide transfer RNA is filed under the name Paragonimus westermani. It matches the Rfam family "tRNA". Rfam says of the family: Transfer RNA (tRNA) molecules are approximately 80 nucleotides in length. The record is from Rfam by way of RNAcentral. RNAcentral also lists the same sequence under 4 other names. Lineage: Eukaryota; Metazoa; Platyhelminthes; Trematoda; Plagiorchiida; Troglotrematidae.
GUCAGGGUGGCCGAGCGGUCUAAGGCGCUGCGUUCAGGUCGCAGUCCACUCUGUGGGCGUGGGUUCGAAUCCCACCUCUGACA